AGUACCUACUAAUUCCAAAGAGAUCCCAUAGUUAAAUCACAGAUAUAUGAACAUCACAUUGAUGUUCAUAUAUCUGUGAGUUAAAUCCACUGACCUCUAUACAUAUAUACAAGGUUAAAUCACAGAUUAUAAGAAUAUUACUUCAAUAUAAUGUUCUUGUAUACAUAUACAAUAAUAACCUAUCAUGUUCUUAUAUCUGUGGAUAAAUUGAAAUUUAAGCAACUCUUUGCAGGAAGGGAGUCCUAUAACAAGGAGUAACUAACCCUAAGUUUAGAGUGGUGAUCAGUGACAUCGGUCCUGGUGCAGGAGUAGAGGAUAACGGGCUUGUCCCUGCCCUGGAACUGGUCCACAGUGCUGGCGGGCGCCGACAGCCGCGCCCGCGCCCGCGCCAGCGCCCUCCGCAGCCGCGCCGCUUGCUCGCGGUACGGAGCUAUGACGCCUAUGUCUGAGCUGCUCACGCCACCCUGUACAGAUAUGAAAUCAGGUCUCACUGGUGCAUCACUAACCUGUAUCAACGCUUCGGCUAAAGCCAGCACCACACAAGCCUCGGUAUCAUUGGUACACUUCUUACUGCUCUCUGUGGCUGUCACAUCGAGGAACACUAC
Plodia interpunctella (Indianmeal moth) is the source of this 605-nucleotide long non-coding RNA. RefSeq lists it as uncharacterized. The transcript is spliced from 3 exons. NCBI's taxonomy places the organism in Eukaryota, Metazoa, Arthropoda, Insecta, Lepidoptera, Pyralidae. The record is from RefSeq and is a predicted model, not a curated record.